This 86-nucleotide ribosomal RNA is filed under the name Acanthosepion pharaonis. The record is from RNAcentral. Lineage: Eukaryota; Metazoa; Mollusca; Cephalopoda; Sepiida; Sepiidae.
UUCCCGUGCAAUCACCGAAAUUAAGCAACGUCGAGCCUAGUCAGUACCUAAAUGGGUGACCACUUGGGAAUACCAGGGGCUGUAAG